GCCCGCUUGGCUAAGUGGUAUAGCGUGUCACUAGUAAUUACUAGAUGUCAUGACAAGAUCAGCGGUUCGAUUCCGCUAGUGGGCA
RNAcentral lists this transfer RNA (85 nucleotides) under Xylaria digitata. RNAcentral's name for it is "tRNA-Thr". It matches the Rfam family "tRNA". From Rfam's summary of the family: Transfer RNA (tRNA) molecules are approximately 80 nucleotides in length. Their secondary structure includes four short double-helical elements and three loops (D, anti-codon, and T loops). Further hydrogen bonds mediate the characteristic L-shaped molecular structure. tRNAs have two regions of fundamental functional importance: the anti-codon, which is responsible for specific mRNA codon recognition, and the 3' end, to which the tRNAs corresponding amino acid is attached (by aminoacyl-tRNA synthetases). tRNAs cope with the degeneracy of the genetic code in two manners: having more than one tRNA (with a specific anti-codon) for a particular amino acid; and 'wobble' base-pairing, i.e. permitting non-standard base-pairing at the 3rd anti-codon position. RNAcentral also lists the same sequence under 1 other name. The record is from RNAcentral. Lineage: Eukaryota; Fungi; Ascomycota; Sordariomycetes; Xylariales; Xylariaceae.